RNAcentral lists this ribosomal RNA (274 nucleotides) under uncultured bacterium. Its description in RNAcentral is "partial 16S ribosomal RNA". It matches the Rfam family "Bacterial small subunit ribosomal RNA", at positions 523 to 796 of the family's 1533-position model. The record is from RNAcentral.
ACACGGAGGGAGCGAGCGUUAAUCGGAUUUACUGGGCGUAAAGCGCGCGUAGGCGGCUAAUUAAGUCAAAUGUGAAAUCCCCGAGCUUAACUUGGGAAUUGCAUUCGAUACUGGUUAGCUAGAGUGUGGGAGAGGAUGGUAGAAUUCCAGGUGUAGCGGUGAAAUGCGUAGAGAUCUGGAGGAAUACCGAUGGCGAAGGCAACCAUCUGGCCUAACACUGACGCUGAGGUGCGAAAGCAUGGGGAGCAAACAGGAUUAGAAACCCGAGUAGUCC